UGCGUAGGUGGUAUGGCAAGUCAGAAGUGAAAACCCAGGGCUUAACUCUGGGACUGCUUUUGAAACUGUCAGACUGGAGUGCAGGAGAGGUAAGCGGAAUUCCUAGUGUAGCGGCGAAAUGCGUAGAUAUUAGGAGGAACAUCAGUGGCGAAGGCGGCUUACUGGACUGAAACUGACACUGAGGCACGAAAGCGUGGGAGCAAACA
Molecule: ribosomal RNA, 206 nt
Filed under: uncultured bacterium
Lineage: Bacteria
Description: partial 16S ribosomal RNA
Rfam family: Bacterial small subunit ribosomal RNA
Source: RNAcentral